AUUGAACGCUGGCGGCAGGCCUAACACAUGCAAGUCGAGCGGAUGAAGGGAGCUUGCUCCUGGAUUCAGCGGCGGACGGGUGAGUAAUGCCUAGGAAUCUGCCUGGUAGUGGGGGAUAACGUCCGGAAACGGGCGCUAAUACCGCAUACGACCUGAGGGAGAAAGUGGGGGAUCUUCGGACCUCACGCUAUCAGAUGAGCCUAGGUCGGAUUAGCUAGUUGGUGGGGUAAAGGCCUACCAAGGCGACGAGCCGUAACUGGUCUGAGAGGAUGAACAGCCACCCUGGAACUGAGACCCGGCCCAGCCUCCUCCGGGAGGCAGCGGUGGGGAAUAUUGGACAUUGGGCGAAGUCCUGAUCCAGCACUGCCGCGUGGUUGAAGAAGGUCUUCGGAUUGUAAAGCCCUUUAUGUUGGGAGGACGGGUAGUAAGUUAAUACCUUGCUGUUUUGACGUUACCAACAGAAUAAGCACCGGCUAACUUCGUG
Molecule: ribosomal RNA, 484 nt
Filed under: uncultured bacterium
Lineage: Bacteria
Description: partial 16S ribosomal RNA
Rfam family: Bacterial small subunit ribosomal RNA
Source: RNAcentral